RNAcentral lists this long non-coding RNA (235 nucleotides) under Homo sapiens (human). Its description in RNAcentral is "HSALNT0217675". Lineage: Eukaryota; Metazoa; Chordata; Mammalia; Primates; Hominidae. The record is from RNAcentral.
AGACAGAAAAGCGAGUGCCUUUUAGAACGGCGCAGCCUGAGCCCGGAUUUCUCUAAUGUCUACGUGCUGUUAUUUUAGGUCUCCGAAUUCAAUCCUUUGACGUUCACCAGCGUGAUCGAAUGCGAGAAGCCAAACAACGACCUGAGUAGGUUUCGCGGCUGCAUGGCGGUGCCUGGCAGUGGAGGCACAGCAGGGACAGAUACGAAGGCCUGCAGCCUGCUGGAUCCACAGAGCC